UCGAGAAUCAUUCGCAAUGGGCGAAAGCCUGACGAUGCGACGCCGCGUGUAUGAAGAAGGCCUUCGGGUUGUAAAGUACUUUCGCCAAGGAACAAGAGAAACCGGCUAAUAUCCGGUGGAUUUGAGAGUAUUUGGUAAAGAAGCACCGGCUAACUCCGUGCCAGCAGCUGCGGUAAUACGGAGGGUGCAAGCGUUAAUCGGAAUUAUUGGGCGUAAAGGGCGCGUAGACGGGAAUGCAAGUCAGAUGUUAAAGACCGAAGCUCAACUUCGGAAAAGCAUUUGAAACUGCAUUUCUUGAGGAUAGACGGAGAAAACGGAAUUCCACAAGUAGCGGUGAAAUGCGUAGAUAUGUGGAAGAACACCGGUGGCGAAGGCGGUUUUCUAGUUUAUACCUGACGUU
This 400-nucleotide ribosomal RNA is filed under the name uncultured bacterium. Its description in RNAcentral is "bacterial SSU rRNA". It matches the Rfam family "Bacterial small subunit ribosomal RNA", at positions 355 to 747 of the family's 1533-position model. The record is from RNAcentral.